GGGGUUGUGGCUCAAUGGUAGAGCGCUCGCCUAGCAUGUCAGAGGCCCUGGGUUUGAUCCUCAGAACCUCA
This 71-nucleotide transfer RNA is filed under the name Ictidomys tridecemlineatus (thirteen-lined ground squirrel). RNAcentral's name for it is "Spermophilus tridecemlineatus (thirteen-lined ground squirrel) tRNA". It matches the Rfam family "tRNA". Rfam says of the family: Transfer RNA (tRNA) molecules are approximately 80 nucleotides in length. Their secondary structure includes four short double-helical elements and three loops (D, anti-codon, and T loops). Lineage: Eukaryota; Metazoa; Chordata; Mammalia; Rodentia; Sciuridae. The record is from Rfam by way of RNAcentral. RNAcentral also lists the same sequence under 1 other name.